GUUCUAAGGGAAAAGCUGUUCCUCAGUCUGCUGGUUAUUGUUAUAUUCUACAGUGCUUCGCGGAAAUCACGCACUGGACCUUUAAGAUGUUGUAAUAUGGUGGUGGCGUUGCUGUGGUUACUGGUUACCAUAGUCCAUGGCAUUCUAAAAAAAGAAUGUGUUUGAAAAAUGCCCGCUGACGAAGAGAAACUGCAGUAAGUGUCUGACCAUCGCUAGACAUUAAAGGUUGGAGUGGAGCAGAAAAAAGACUUGCAAGGGGAAUGGUGGAGAUAUAGUUGAAGACCUGGAGCUCAGCAAACAGAGUGGAGUGGAGACACUAGGGCAUCACACAUCUCAGGAAUGAUAAGAAACCGAUGGUCAGUUAUCACCUAUUCACUAAGAUGGCCUUCCAAGAAUAAGGGGGUGGAGGUGGGCUUAGAUAGUUAGAUGUUUUGUUUGUGGCAGGCGUUUCUUUUUUCAGGUAAUGGACCCGCAUCAUGCAAAAGAAGGAAACUCAAGAGCAUCAUUGGAGAUUUAUCUGAAGAACACUGGAGAAUAUCCCGGUUGUGAAUAUAACCCAUUUUCCCUGAAGAUGGGAAAGGAGACGCGUGUCUACCGACACUUUAGGAGUUCGAUAGAUGACCAUUCACAAUCAAGAGUAAUUCAUCAUUAGUAGAGUAUAUUACCAGGGCACACGGAGCGAGCCGCUAGACUUUUGCCGAUGAAGAGCCAAACACUCAGCCAUCAACUGGAGACCCAGCUGCAGUGGCAAUGGAGACACACAAAUUUUCCCAUCUUCGGGGAAUGUGGGUUUCGUAACCUGAUGGUCCCCUUUAGUGGUAACUAUGGCGUGUGUCUACCAACACUUUGGGAGGAAAACGCCACAGCAGCUGAGCCCAUCACACUCCUGAUGUGAAGUUUGCCAAGCUUAUUAGCAUGAGUGCACAAGCAUCACCAUAGGGUGUAACCUUCUAACGUCCCCUAGGUUCUUUAAUUAACAGAAUAUGGGAAUAAUUUGAGAAUUUAGGAUUGGGGGGGUCGUAAAUAUGCUUUUUACCUAGCUAGCUGUAGUCUAGGGUUUUUAAACAUACAACAGUAUGUUGGAAAAGCAUGCCAGUCCCAAUGGGGAAGGACACUGCGGAGGCCACCUGCUACCCAAGGGGAAACUAGGUGACAGUAUGAACAUAUGGGCCUGCCCUGUCCAGGGGGAGUGAUACAUAUGAUAAACUAGUAAGCGGGUAGGGAAGAAAACCGCCUGAGAAGGCGGAACACUCUGUGGCCCAAUGACACGUAUGGGAUUGUUAAUAGGGAUCAUGCAUAGCUGGCACUGAUCCCCAGCUUGUGGAUAGACCAAGCGGGCAUACCAGACAUGGAACUGGGCCAGGCACCUGGCCAUCGUGAAGAGUGUGAGUUUUGAAACCCAGGAUCUGGUUGGGCCAGUGAGGUGCAACUAACAAGACCUGCUCUUUGUCCUCCCUGACCUUGCAUAGAGCCUGUGCGAGUAGGCUCACUGGGAAAAGUGCUUAUAUGCACAUGCCUGGGGGCCAGCUGUGGGGCAAUGCAUCCAUGCUGAGGGGGGCCUCGGUCAGGGAAUAAAACAACUGGCAAUGGCCAUUUUUAGGAGAAGCAGCUCUCAUAUUAGCUGGACCGUGCUGGGAUGGAGUCUCCAUUCUCCUCAAGACCUCAGCUGCCGUGAGCGCGCAUCAGCUGCAUGGUUGAGCUUUCCCGGGAUGUGAUUGGCACACAGCGGUUUUAACCCUGUAUGACUCCAGGGGGCAGAUGGCGAGCGAGCUGAGACAUGUAAUGGGAGCGAAUACCACCCAUACGGUUGAUAUACGCCACCGUUUCCGUGCUGUCCGUCCUGACCAGCGCAUGUUUCUGCUCCAGGACCAGCAAAAAUCAGAGGAGAGUGAGAAACACUGCCAACAGCUCCAGGCAAUUGAUAUGCAAAUGCAAUCAGUGUCCAGUCCAUGAACCCAGAGCAGCAUUCUCAUUACACAUGGAUUCCAGCCCCUGCUGGAAGCAUCUGUCGAGAUGACAACAUGUCUGGACACUUGUUCUAAGGUUAUCCUGGCCUAUGGAAAGGCAUGGUUCGUCAAAGAACUAAGGGGUGUGGAGCCUCUGAAAAAAAAAUUUGUAGGACCACUGUGUUCUUGUUGAGUAGUCUCAGAGAGCACACAUCCUGGCACAUGCUUCUGUGAGGCGUGUCAUCAUUAAGAUAGGAGAUCCCAUCUAUCCCGAGAUCUCUGCACAGUGGAGAGCUUGCUCUUUUUCCGGUUGACCUGAAGCCCCAACUGGUCGAGGUGCUGGAGCACCAUGUCCCUGUGCAUAAUCAAUUAUUUUUUUAUUUUUGUUAUUUCAUAAAAAGGGACAGUGUACAUUAAUCAAUGUUCCUCAAAAAUAUAAAUGUAACCAAAUUAGCCCAAAGACUACUUUUUAUUGGUGGUCCCAUUGCCCGAUCUUAAAGGGCAUGAUAAUAGAAAUACAAAUUCAAACUGAAAACAUACUUAAAUGAACAACAAUAGGAAACAACCACCACAACAACAUCAAAAGCCUAUUGUUCACAGUAUUGACUAUUAAAAGCCAUUGCUUAAAAUUAUACUUAAAUGAUUUAAAGAUACACAUUCAGAUUGUGGUAUCAAAUUCCACUGAUGUGAUGCUUUAAAAAAUAUGCUUGACCAAAAUAACUUUUUCUAAGUGGAAUAAUGCAAUCAGCUCUAUCUGCACUUCUAGUUAUUAUUUUCUACAGAUUUAUAUUUUAAAGAUUCAUAUAGAGGGAGAUGAGAUGACCUAAACCAUGCGUAAUCGUGUAAGCUACGCAACAAUUUUAAACUUAGAGAUGAUUUUCCAAUUAAGCUGUUUAUUGGUUUUCAAAAUAGUACAAAGAUGAAAACUAAAAGGUUUUUUAUCUAAAAUUUUAAGUGUUUAUAUAGUAAUUGCAGAGGUUUUAAAGCUGUAGAUUUUGUGUUAGACCAACUUAUCAGACUAUAAUUGAUAUGAGAGAGGAUCAUAGAAUUUAAAUAUAUUUUUGCAGCCUUAUAUGAUAAAGAAUUUCUAAUAAACCUAAAAUAAACUAUAUUCAGUUUCUGUGUAAAACCUGGAGAAGAACCACCCUCGUGGAGCUCAGCCAGCUUCUGCGCCUGGUAGCGCUGAUGGGUGGCCAUAGCAUGUAAGGCAGAGGCUCCCUACAUGCCUUGGAUAGGAGUCUAGGCUGACCUCUCCAGGUUACGGCGCAUUGCGGGCAAAGAUUGAAUGAAAUGGUGCGCUCCACCUGAGGAAUCGCUUCGUACCUCCUGGCUGCUCCGUCAUCAAGGGUGGCAAGGAUGGCAGCGCAUGAGAACCGGGCAGAAAAAGGUGCCCUCCAUGCCUGCAUGAUUUCACUGUGCACCUCCAAGAAGAAGGGGAUGGAGGUUUGACCCUCUUCUUUGCCCCCACAUAACACUUGUCUUAUCGGUUUGACGGCGGAACUGGGAGACAAGCCAUCUCCAGUCCCACCACUGAAGCAGCCUGGGAUAUCGCGGCCAGCAUGUCCAAUUUCAGGUCUGAGACAUCACUCACAACCCUUGAAGGGCAGGAGCGAUCUGACAGUCAUCAGAACAUGUCAGCCCACUCUUCGAUGCAGCGAUGGACAUCUGGCCCUCUAUGUCAUAAAGUGAGAGUGCUGCCAUCCUGGAGGGAUGCAAGGCCUCACUCACUUAAAGCUUGGACAAAGUGCACUGUGGAGGGGUUGAGGGGUCUGCAGGGCCGAAGGCAACGGAUGAGCCCUUACAGUCAACUUCAUGCCUUCCUGAGUGCUAACCGACUUGCGAGGAACAGCAGGGGUGACGCACCCUAAUGCUAAAGUGUGCUGCGACCUAGGUUGUGCAACAGUCGUGCCCUCGUAAUGAGGGCAUGCAAGCACCGCCCCAACAUGCUAAACCCCAGACAUGUGACACAAUACUUGUGGCCUUCAUCAAGGGAGAGGAAACCACCACACCAAGAAACACAUGGUUGGAUUGUAAAUUGGAAUCUUAAGUUGUUGUUGUAAGUUGGAUCUUUAAAAAAAAUGCUUUGCUCGCCCCUGUUGCUCUUUUAGGCGAAUAUGCUCUUUUAUUUGAAACUGCUCUUUUAGCCACUAGUGAAACACUCAGAGGACAGGAAGUAGACCCUGUUCAGCCGCCGCUGUAUGCGGUGUCACAUGAACUGGAUGGAAUACUGCUUUCUUUCUGGAAGACAGCUUAGCAGAACAUUCUCUUCUUGUGAGGCUCUGAAGCAAAAAGACUAACGGCUCGCUCCAUGUGCACUGGUUAUAUACUCUACUAAUGAUUAAUCACCAGCACCUGUGGAGAUGAGCUAUGCCAAUUCAUAGACAUUCACUGGUGAUUGGUCAUCUACAAACUUCUAAAGUGUCGGUAGACACAUGUCUUAGUUCCCACUGAAGGGGAACAGCUUUUGCAUUACUGGAAAUCAGCAAGCAUGUAGAGCUCUGUUGGUCUUGACUUUGUCUUUUACAGACUGGAGUCCAGCAUGUGGAGAAAAAUAGGAAUCAUACAGCUGAGCAAUGAUUGGAAACUGAUAAUCAGGAAUAUCCUUCAAAGGCAGAUAGAUGGGUGCAUGAAUCAAUGUCCUUUUUAAGAGGAAGGGAGUGGUGGUGGACAUAGAUUUCUAGAUGUCUUCUCUGUGGCAGUUAUUUAAAUUGUAGCUAAUGGAACCACAAUAGGCAGAAGAAGGAGACUCACAAGAGCAUUGUUAAAAAAUCAUAGAGAACAGCAUUGUUCAUUCAUGAUACAUUCGAGUAGCAUUACCAGAAUAAAGACGUUAUUCUCUAUGUACAACCGAAUCAACGCUUGCGAAAGCAAUGUAGUUUAAUCCAUAACUGACACAUAUGCAUCUAUAAUACUUU
Molecule: non-coding RNA, 4861 nt
Organism: Danio rerio (zebrafish)
Lineage: Eukaryota; Metazoa; Chordata; Actinopteri; Cypriniformes; Danionidae
Source: RefSeq, a predicted model, not a curated record